This 1140-nucleotide long non-coding RNA is filed under the name Setaria italica (foxtail millet). Its description in RNAcentral is "long non-coding RNA (SITA_LNC000616)". Lineage: Eukaryota; Viridiplantae; Streptophyta; Magnoliopsida; Poales; Poaceae. The record is from RNAcentral.
CGCCCAAACGCCGUUCUUUCCUUUUCUAUUUCAUUUUGUGAUUUCAACCAUCCUUUGUCAGCUGAACUGACUAAUUUACCCCUGGCUGGCCGAGAGGAUAAGGUUCUGGCCGCGAUGUCCUCUGUCUCUCGCGCCCCUACGUCGUCCCCGUCGCGCGCCGCUAUCUUCCUCGCUCGACCUGGACAGCCAUGGCGCCACGCCGCCACCAGCGCGCCGUACGGACCCGCCACGGCGCCACCAAGCGCCCACCCCAGGCUGCCGUUGUGGCCGGCUAUGGCAGCUACUUGAAAUCGUUGAGGUCACUAAUGGCGCCCACGAUGCCGUGUUCAAGAUGGACUUCACGUCUUCACUGCAUGUUUAAAACUUCAAAUACGCAAAUACGAAGACAGAUAAACGAUUUAAAUUAACCAUCGAUGAUCGAUGCUUAACUAACUGAAUUACAUGGAGAGGUACAGAAACAUGAAGGACGCCAUGCUGGUGGCCGGCACUGUGCUCCGCUACCACAACGCGCAAGGAGCCAAGGACUUUGAUCCCGAAGCCAACGGAGACACGAGCACCGGCGUGUAGGCACAUAUAGCGCAAACCCGUCGGAGCCGGACUGCUGUCCGACGGCGGCGGGGACCGGGCCGAGGCAUCCUGAUUUCUCCACGCCGUCGACGACCUGCGCUGGCCCGCUCCGCCGUCGCCUUCGCGUCCAUCGGCAGCCGUCAGGAGUCAAUCGUUGCGGAUGGGGGACGGGAGGCAAUGCAGACCUCCAUUGCCGCGCCUAUCGAGCGUAAGCGGAGGGGCCCAGGCGGGAUUAGGAUGGGGCACACGCCCCUAGCGACGCACCAACGCGUCGCGGCGCCGGCGGGCACGGAGGGAAAGAAAGAGGGCGAGAUGAAGCUAGAGUUCGGUCCAAUCCAGGCUAAGGGCACAAUGGUCCGCUCACCUGAUAAAAUAUAGUUGAGAUCACAAAAUGAAUUAGAAAAAUGAAGAAAGGCAUUGUGGCGUGUGGAUACAGUUUCGGCAAUCUGGCGAAACCCAUUUGCGGGUUGAUAUUUGGACGAAACCCGCUUUUGAGGAUGGUGAAAUUGCAAAUUUCUCUUCUGAGGGAGUGAUAAUUCGAAACGGCAAGUAUGGCAUGAUAGUUGCUUUCCA